RNAcentral lists this ribosomal RNA (253 nucleotides) under uncultured bacterium. RNAcentral's name for it is "partial 16S ribosomal RNA". It matches the Rfam family "Bacterial small subunit ribosomal RNA", at positions 524 to 776 of the family's 1533-position model. The record is from RNAcentral.
UACGUAGGGUGCAAGCGUUGUCCGGAAUUAUUGGGCGUAAAGAGCUCGUAGGCGGUCUGUCGCGUCGGCUGUGAAAACUCGGGGCUCAACUCCGAGCUUGCAGUCGAUACGGGCAGGCUAGAGUUCGGCAGGGGAGACUGGAAUUCCUGGUGUAGCGGUGAAAUGCGCAGAUAUCAGGAGGAACACCGGUGGCUAAGGCGGGUCUCUGGGCCGAUACUGACGCUCAUGCACGAAAGCGUGGGGAGCAAACAGG